This 465-nucleotide ribosomal RNA is filed under the name uncultured bacterium. RNAcentral's name for it is "partial 16S ribosomal RNA". It matches the Rfam family "Bacterial small subunit ribosomal RNA", at positions 28 to 507 of the family's 1533-position model. The record is from RNAcentral.
GACGAACGCUGGCGGCGUGCUUAACACAUGCAAGUCGAACGGAAAGGCCCUGCUUGCAGGGUACUCGAGUGGCGAACGGGUGAGUAACACGUGGGUGAUCUGCCCUGCACUUCGGGAUAAGCCUGGGAAACUGGGUCUAAUACCGGAUAUGACCUUCCAUGUAGUGUGGGGGGUGGAAAGAUUUAUCGGUGUGGGAUGAGCCCGCGGCCUAUCAGCUUGUUGGUGGGGUAAUGGCCUACCAAGGCGUCGACGGGUAGCCGGCCUGAGAGGGUGGACGGCCACAUUGGGACUGAGAUACGGCCCGGACUCCUACGGGAGGCAGCAGUGGGGAAUAUUGCACAAUGGGCGGAAGCCUUAUGCAGCGACGCCGCGUGGGGGAUGACGGCCUUCGGGUUGUAAACCUCUUUCGACAGGGACGAAGCUUCGGUGACGGUACCUGUAUAAGAAGCACCGGCUAACUACGUG